Molecule: long non-coding RNA, 1238 nt
Filed under: Nicotiana tabacum (common tobacco)
Lineage: Eukaryota; Viridiplantae; Streptophyta; Magnoliopsida; Solanales; Solanaceae
Description: long non-coding RNA (NTAB_LNC015425)
Source: RNAcentral
UAUCUCUCCCCGAUCCUUCUGCAUCCAAAAUAGUUGAGACCGAUGCAUCAGACAUUGGUUAUGGUGGCAUUUUUAAGCAGAAAAAAGAUGACAAGGAGCAAAUUGUUGCAUUUGCAUCAAAAUAUUGGAAUAAUUCCAAACAAAAUUAUCCUACAAUUUAAAAAGAAAUUUUAGCAAUUAUUUUGUACAUUUUUUUAUUUCAAGCUGAUUUAUUAAAUAAAUUUUUUUUGUUAAGAAUUGAUUGUAAAGCUGCGAAAUCCGUUUUACAAAAUGAUGUACAAAAUUUUGCUUCUAAACAUAUAUUUGAUAGAUGGCAAGCUAUUUUAUCUAUUUUUUAUUUUGAUAUAGAAUAUAUCAAAGGGAGCUUAAACUGUAUUCCAGAUUUUCUUAUCCGAGAAUUCUUGCAGGGGAGAUAAAAUGCCAAGAAAAAAGAAAGAAGAAAUUUCAGAUCCUCCAAUACCUGUUCUUCCUCCACUUGAGGUAAAUAUUACUGAAGCAGUACCUAAACAGUCUGCUACAGAUGUUGUUUUCAAACAACAUACCAUUUCAGUUGUCUCCAAGCAACUCUUAAAAGGCGCAGCUGGACCAAGCCAGCCCAAAUAUAGGAAGCCAUCAGACUAUGCCAUGAGCGGACUCCCCCAAAUUCAUAUGAUAGAAAGUUCAGGACCCAUUCCAAUUUUUCGUCCAAAAAGAUGGGCAGAAGAAGAAUAUCAACAAGCUUAAACUCAACUAGCACAGACCAUGACUUCUCCUUGGACAAAAGGAGAAUUCAUGCAAUGGUGCCAACUCAUGGGAAUUAAAGAUCAAAUGACCAUGCCUGGCCUAUUUAAAAAAUAACUGGGAGAUCAGUACUAAUUAUAUAAAAAUUAUAGUUCCAAGGUGGCAGCACAAAGCCACGCAUCUUCUUCCAACUCCGUGGCGGCCCAAAGUCACACGACCCCUUAAAUUCCUGUGGUUGCUAAAAGCACCACACAAAAGAUAUUGGAGGCUACAAGCUCCAUUGCAGGUACAGGAUGUCGAUCCAACAUCUCAAAAACCACAACUAAUCAGGCACUUUCUUCACCAGUGCCACAACCUAUUUCUUCAACAAAAGUUCCUCCUUCGAGGAACCUACUUAUAUUAAGAAUGAAAGUGUUUACCCACGCAUUCAGAUUGAACCAAAAUUCUGGCAUUCCAACCUCGAGGAGGUAGCUAAGAAAAUACUUAGCCCUUCAGCCAAUUUUGUUCAAAACAUCCAU